GCCAGGUAUGGUGGUGCAUGCCUGUAAUCCCAGCUACUCGGGAGGCUGAGGCAGGAGAAUCACUUGAAUCCAGGAGGCGGAGGUUGCAGUGAGCUGAGAUGGUGCCACUGCACUCUAGCCUGGGUGACAGAGUGAGACUCAGUUUCAG
This 148-nucleotide non-coding RNA is filed under the name Pan troglodytes (chimpanzee). The record is from Rfam by way of RNAcentral. Lineage: Eukaryota; Metazoa; Chordata; Mammalia; Primates; Hominidae.